ACAGUUCAGAUUUCAACCUUCAAUGGCGGAUGAGGUGGUUUUGUUGGAUUUCUGGCCCAGCCCGUUUGGGAUGAGGCUGAGGAUCGCUCUGGCUGAGAAGGGCAUCGAGUAUGAGUACAAAGAAGAUGACUUGUGGAACAAGAGCCCAUUGUUGCUGCAGAUGAACCCGGUUCACAAGAAGAUCCCGGUUCUCAUUCACAAUGGAAAACCGGUCUGUGAGUCCCUCAUUGCACUUCAGUACAUUGAUGAGGUUUGGAAUGAUAAGGCUCCACUCUUGCCCUCUGACUCUUACCUCAGAGCCCAGGCCAGGUUCUGGGCUGACUUCGUCGACAAGAAGGUGAUUUUUACUCAUUAAUUUACUUAUUUGUAGGAUUAUUUUUGUUUUGAAUAUGUUUGGUUUGAAACAAUUGAACAAUGUUGUUUUAGAAUUUUAAGAUUAUAAGUGUUUAGGGUGUAUAAUGAUUUUACCACUUAGGAUUUGUAUUAGAAGGGAAAUUAAAUGGAACUGGAUCUCUGUUUAUGUUUUCGGGUUAAGAUUUCAUGUAAUGGUUUCGGGUUUAGGGUUUGAGGUUUAAGGUGUGUGAUGUAUAUUUAGAAAGAUAUAAGCAGAAGAUCUGAACUUGCAGAUACAUGAGAAUGGGAGGAAGUUGUGGACAACCAAAGGAGAAGAAUAUGAUGCAGCAAAGAAAGACUUUCUCGACUGCAUCGGCGUGUUAGAAGGAGAGCUCGGAAACAAGCCCUUCUUUGGCGGGGAGACCCUCGGAUUCGUGGACGUGGCGCUUGUUCCAUUCUAUAGCUGGUUUCUUGUGUAUGAAAAAUUUGGCAACUUCAGUGUUGAGGCAGAGCACCCAAAGUUCAUUGCCUGGGUUAAGAGGUGCAUGGAGAGGAGAGCGUGUCCAAGUCGCUUCCCGAGCAGGAAAAGGUCUACGAUUUCUUCAUGCUUAUAAGGAAAAAGCGUGGGAUUGAGUAGAUAUUGGUGGAAGCCUGGCAAGAAGCUAUUGAUGAUCAGUGUCAUUCCAACUUGUUUAGGUCAUUGGUUUUUCUGUCUUUCAAGAUUCAACUGUUUUCGGUUGUUGAAUUAGAAUAAAAGGGCACUUGACAAGGCUUGCACUGUAUGAGGCACUUUAUUGUGCCUCAGGUCAAUAUGUUUAUUUUGCUUCUGUAGUCAACCUAUCACAGUGUUGUCAACUUGUUAUGCAAGGGAUCUAAAUCUACUUGAUCAAUUUUCUUAUUUUGUAACUACAUAUCGAAUGAUGGAUUAUUGGCUGUCACCAGUUGCAUUUAAUCGUGAGUCUAUCUUUCUUAUCAGGUAACAAAGACUCAUGGUUGUAUGCGGUAGAUUAUACAGUGAAUUUUCUUUUUAUCCAACUUUGAGUCAACAUUGAUAAGUCAUAUGAGAUCAGGUGCAGCAGACACAGCAAAAGAUCUCACCAGAACAUCUCAGACAGAAAAACAAACUGAAAAGAAAAUGAACUAGAAUAACGCAUCCUAACAUUCAUCAUCGAACUUUUAACAUGGUGAUCAGGACAAUCUCAAAUACAUAAAACCUCGUCCGACUCCGCCAUUGUUGACUUGAUGCACAAACUUCUUGCAGAUCAAUUUGCUUCUUGCCAAAUAUUUGACACCUACGUUUCAGUCUCACUUAUAUUGGCCAAUUUUUGUUUCAUAAUCUAUAUUAAGUCAGCCAGUAAUAUUUUCUACAUAAACAUUUUUAUUCCUGUAAUUUGAUUCAUAUUUCAUUUUUGUAUACCUAUAUAAACCUACUUCAUGGGAUCCCUGCGCUAAACCAACUUUGCCUUUUGAAAAUUCAUAGUGCUCUUCAUUAAUUAGAAAGGAGGCAAAAAUACAGCAACGCCCUAAUGAGACCCCCUUCCGAUGUUGAGCCCUAAUGAUACCCCCUUCCGAUGUUGAACCAUCACUCAGACUAGAACACCACAAUGACACCACAAUUACACUUCAAUGAUUUAAAAAACAACCAAAACCUCAUUUUCAAAGAACUCCAUUUACCAACAAGUGACUUACAUUUCAAUUUGAUUUAAACCAAAAUUCUUAAGAUUUUGAACCACCAGUGCAACAAUAACAAUCUGACAACCCCACAACGACACUCCAAUGAUACUCUCCAUUUUAUGAUUUGAACUGGCACAACCACAACAACAAUCUGAUGAUGUCACAAUGACAUUCCAACGAUAUAUACUUCCCUUUUUAUGAUUUUGAACCAACACAACCACAACAACAAUUUGAAGAUGCCAAAACGACACACCCCCAUUUUUUUGAUUUCGAACCACCUCAGCCACAACACUUCAUUCAAGGAACCCUCUCCUUCUACAUUCCCUAACCACCACAACCAAAUUUCAAAUACAAAAAAAAUCAAAUAAUUGAGCUAAAGCAAGAUGAAACAGAGAGGGGAAGAAGAAGAAUGGAUACGGGAGGUGGAGCAAUAAGAAGCUUACCUCCUUUCAUGGUGUUCCAAAUGUUAUUUACCGCUCCAAAUUCAAUUAGUCAAGACGGCGCAAUCGAAAAAUGGAUUUGGGAGUGUUGUUGGGUGUUGGUAGUUUUUUUUUUAUCAAUGAAGAACAUGAUGACCAAUAAAAAGAUAAGUGAAGGGUAGUGUGGACUUUUCAUAUGAAAAUUUGAUCAAAAGAACAAUUUUUAAUAAGUGUGAUAAAAAAUAUAACCAAAUGUCAAAACAUAUCUAUUUUGGCUAAUUGCUGUAUAAUCUUCUGAGGUCAUAAUUGGAUCUAGCCUCCAACAAAACCACUAAACUAAAAGCUAGUGACAGUAACCCAUAAGUAAAUAUUACUAUAAAAGCGACCGAGAGUGAUAAUAAAACUUGGCAAAAUAAAUUUAUAUUGAUAGUGGAGGUUAGAUUUGCUCCAUAUCGAGGCUCCUUAUCGGACUUGGCUUUCUCGUGCUAUUAAUUGUAGACACUUUUGAUAUUGUUGUGGAGUGAUUGUUGUCACUGGCCUUUAAUGAGUCAAGGACCUAUGAGUUGAUUGGUGAAUAAGAUCUAAAAAUGUGUUUUCACUAAUGUAAUAUAAAUAGGUGGUUAUUCUAGCAUUACUCUUCAUAUACAAUUGGAUGAUUCAAAUCUUUUUUGUAACCUUCUUCAUGGCCUGGAAUUAUACAACUGUUUUUUUCCCUAAUAGUUCUUAUUACACCUUUACUUGAUUUGCAUCACUUCCUUUAUGUUAAUAAAAUUAGACGAUUGCACAUGCUUCCUUACGGACCCAAAGACAACAUUUUUUUUUAACCAUUCUAGUUCCGUGUGGUUGAAUGGGAUUACAGGCUUUAGGGUUUUAGGGAUGCAGCACACCCCAAUAUUGCUAAAGGAAUUGUGACUCUAAAAACUACUUAGCCUAGGUGGUGCACAUACCGAAUAGCUAAUAAGUUAACUACGUUCUUCGGUUGAAUGCGGAGUGUGCCAACUCGUCUGUCAAGCUCGGCCGGGGAGUGAAUAAAUGUUGAUGUGACGUUGGGCACUGAUGACUUCUGAAUCUUGCGAUUGCGGCCGAGGAAGGAGCACAUCUCGCCCUUUGGGUUCUAAAGCCUGAAGACAAGGCUGCUAGUUCAGUAGAUUGACGACCGCGAGAUUGGAUCCACCGCAAAAUCACCUUCUUCCUCAAAAAUUGUAUCCAGCAUUUUCGUCAAUGGGCGUUUGCUUAUUGAAAUGAACUGUGAUACUGCAACUUCUGUACGAGUACUCUUGGAGUUUGGCACUUUACCAUUCCUUCCAUUGCAAUGGAGGUAUGGAAUUAUGACAAUGCAGUUCUGGAAAGGGAAAAUUGGGAAGGUAGAGGAAGAUGGAGAGGUUGAAAGAGAAUAUGGUGCAAUGAACAAUUUUCUGGGGUUUUGUAGGGGUUUUAGAGAUUGAAAUUUGGCUGUUAUUUUUGUCUUGACGGCUACAUCUAAGGACAUUUGGUACUUUCCCAAUCCACCUUUAAUAUUCUAACUAAUGAGUCCACGUUCUAAUUAAAUUAGUUUAGUCUAUGAAGAAAGAAAUUCGAACUUUGAUGCACAAGAACUAACGAGCUGGUCUAACUCACAACUGCACUAUAAGAAUUGUCGAUAACAAUAUCAUUUUAUUUUUUAGCUUUCAUUUUUACGUUAAGGGUAAAGAGAAAACAUUAGAUAAAGGAGAUAUGGUGGUGAGAUGAGGAGGGGAAAUGAAGAACAAUGCAUGAAACCAACUUUGCCUAUCGAAAAUUCAUAGUGCUCUUCAUUAAUAAGAAAGGAGGCAAAAAUACAACUUUGCCCUUCGGUGUAUAGUUGACUUCAUUUUUAUUUUUUAUCAUUUUUACUUCUUCUUUAUAUACAAUUUUGGAUAAUGCAUGCAUGCGUGCCUAGGUUUCUGAUUUUUUUUUAUAUUACCUAGGGGUUUACAUAUUAUAUGCUCGCGUGAAGAUACUGUAGACAUCGAAAUUUCGAUAAAUAAAUGUUGACCGAUAAAUCAAAGUGUCAACGCUCGUGUAUUACAUAAAUUUUACACGUAGCGUGUGACUCAACGAAAAUUGAAAUGAGUUGGAAAAAGUCAUCAAAUAGAACACGUGUCAACACCUGGCAGAAACGACUUAUUUCAUCUGGGAUAUUAUAUUCAAAAUUAAGCCUUGGAAAAUUCUAUAAAUACAAGCCCAUUUCAUUCAUUUGGAGGGGGAACCAAAAUCAUUAGGCAAAAUUCUUGAAGCUCUGAAGCUCUGAAACUCCGAAGCUCUCAAGCAUCCAGGUUCCCGAAGAAUCAAGAAAGUGUUCUUCGUUCUUCGUUCUUCGUUCUUCCAAGAUCAAGCCCCAACGGCCCUUUGGAUCAACAAUCAUCCACCAAUUCAAGAUCAAGCCCCGACGGCCCUUGAAGAAAGUGUUAUUCGUUAUUCGUUCAUCGUUCUUCCAAGAUCAAGCCCCAACGGCCUUUUGGAUCAACAAUCGUCCACCCAUUCAAGAUCAAGCCCCGACGACCCUUGAAGAAAGUGUUCUUCGUUCCUCGUUCAUCGUUCUUCCAAAAUCAAGCCCCGACGACCCUUAGAUCAACCAUCCAUCAAUUCAAGAUCAAGCCCCAAAGGCCCUUGAAGAACUUCCACCAAUUCAAGAUCAAGCCCCGACAGCCCUUGAAGAAAGCACCAUCGUUCAUCAUCCGUUCAUCCAAGAUCAAGCCCCAACGGCCCUUUGGAUCAACAACGUCAACAAAUCCACACAUCUAACCGUUCUUCAAGAUCAAGCCCAAAAGCCCUUGAAGAUCCGUUCAUCACUGUUCUUCAAGAUCAAGCCCAAAAGCCCUUGAAGAUCCGUUCAUCGCCAUUAUUCAAGAUCAAGCCCAAAAGCCCUUGAAGAUCCGUUCAUCACCAUUAUUCAAGAUCAAGCCUCAACGGCCCUUGAAGAAACACUCAUCCUUAAGAUCAAGCCCCAACGGCUCCUUGAAGAUCCGCUCAAAUCCACCUUCAAAGAUCAAGCCCACGGUCCCUUGAAGAAACUUCCAACAGUUCAUCCAAGAUCAAGCCUCGACGACCCUUGGAUCAACGAAACAUCCACAAAUCAAUACCUUACGGAAAUCGAAUCAGAUGAUCAAGAUAAAAAGAUUGUAACCUUACAAAUCCAUUAACACCAAAAUCUUUCUUUGCACACGUUGUUCUUGUCUCUUUCGUUUCAGGAAUUUUCCGUGUUCACAAAUUGGCACACCCGGUGGGAUAAUCUCUACCUCUCAUCUCUUUCUCCGUUCAAGAAAUUCGAGCACACUUCCAAAAUUAAUGGCAUCAAGGAAGGUUCAAACUGUUCCCGCAACUGGCGUAAAGAACAAGAGCGUCAUCGUCGCAAGUGGUGUCAUUUUAGGCAUCACGACUCGAAGCAAGGCAAGAGCUACUUCUGCCGCCUCUUUCACCUCUGCAUCAACUAUGCCAAGGGAAUAAGAGCACCCAAGGCACGAGCCUUUGAUCACCUUAGCCUCACCAAGGGCACCAAGGAGCGAAAGUCCAAGGAAAUACUCCGAAUCCAUACUCUCCGAUGCCGAUUCGAGCGGCAGUUCAGCCAUGCAAGUCAUGACCAUUGGAGCAACUUCAAUCGAUGAGUAGCUGGCUCAAAUGAAUGAAGCAAUCGCAAGGCUAACCCGAACUGUGGAAGAAAAAGACUUGCAAAUCGCUGCACUCGUCAGCCGACUGGAGCCACAGGCGGCGAGAACCCUAACCCAGAAGAUGAGCCUACGGUGGAGAGAAUCGAUGCGAAGCCGGAGCCAGACCAAGCAGCGGCACUCAUGGGAUCUCUUUCUAUCCAGCAGUUGCAAGAGAUGAUCACCAACACCAUCAAGGCACAGUACGAAGGGAGCUCAAAUACCUCCGGGUUGUACUCAAAGCCUUAUUCAAAGAAGAUUGAUGCCCUAAAGAUACCGAGGGGAUAUCAACCACCAAAGUUCAUGCAGUUUGAUGGAAAAGGAAACCCAAAGCAGCAUGUUGCACAUUUUGUCGAAACUUGCAACAACGCGGGGACUGAGGUAGACUACCUCGCCAAGCAGUUUGUGCGCUCGCUAAAAGGAAACGCCUUUGAGUGGUACACGGACCUAGAGCCUGAGUCUAUCAACAGCUGGGAACAGUUGGAAAGGGAAUUCCUCAACCGCUUCUACAGCACCCGCCGCACUGUGAGCAUGCUAGAGCUAACGAGCACAAAGCAGUGGAAUGACGAGCCAGUCAUUGACUACAUCAACAGAUGGCGCACUCUAAGCCUCGACUGUAAAGACAGGCUCUCGGAAACUUCUUCAAUCGAGAUGUGUAUCCAAGGCAUGCAAUGGGGUUUGCAAUACAUCCUUCAAGGCAUCAAACCACGGACCUUCGAGGAAUUGGCCACUCGCGCCCAUGACAUGGAGUUGAGCAUCGCCCAUCAUGGGAAGAAGGAACCGAUCACCGACUACAAGAACGACAAAGUUCUUGAGACAAAGGUAGAGAAGGCUGCGUGGAAAUCCACUAAAGAAGCGAUGACGGUCAACACAUCUCCCGUCAAAAUCUCCACACGAGGCAAGGCGAUUCAAACCGAAGCUUUUCGUGAUCAAGAGAUGCGUAGACGCACUUUGAAGGAGCUUGAGGAGAAGACUUAUCCGUUCCCCGACUCUGAUGUGGUUGCCAUGCUGGAUGACCUGUUGGACAAGAAGGUGAUCAGUUUGCCUGAGUGCAGACGGCCGGAAGAGAUGAAUCGUACCGACAGCCCAAGAUACUGUAAAUUCCACCGCUUCAUCAGCCAUCCAACGGAAAAGUGCUUCGUACUGAAAGUGCUUCAUACUGAAAGAUCUCAUCCUGAAGCUGGCACAACAAGGGAAAAUCGAGCUUGACCUCGAAGACACGGUUGCGGCACACACUACUACUAUCGUGUUUGGAUCACUUGAUCAUAUGCCUUUCCGAAGCAUGCAUGACCAUUCCCGUCAAUGUUCAAGUCAUAAGGCACCUCCUACACAACCAUCACCGGGGGCAAGCAACCAAGAUGCAGCUACUGGUGAUAAGAAAGAGUGGACAUCGGCGACCUACAAAAAAACGAGGAAGCCAAGACCACAAGCCACAAGACCAAAAGAAGAGCCUAAACCCGCCCCUCGAACUUCAGUCUUCGAAAGGCUGAAUUAUUCAAAACCUAGAAUUUCGGCACUUGAUGACAUUAGUGGUCAAGACCAAACUUCCGUCUUCAAAAGGCUUGAGACGCCAACACCGCAAAGAUCUGUCUUUGAAAGGUUAUCAAAACCCAAGAAACAAAGCGGCACAGCUAGAUUUCCUCCACAACGGUCGGCUUUGGACAGACUUGAAGAAACUAAGAAGCCUUCUAGAAACAGGAAGACAACGCCAAAGGGAGAAAAGCUCGACAGUCUAGCAAGAAAAGACGAUGUUCAAAGUUUGAUUCCUUCAAGGAUGAAGCGCCAAGCAACUUUGGAAGUCGACACAAAAGGACCACUGAAGGUAAGGAGGCGCACCAUCAUCUACACUGGCCAACCUUCACGGCAACAAACCCAAGAGGACCGCACUGAAGAGGAGGCCCAAGAAGACAAAGAAGACGAAAUCCUGGAAGAAGACCUCACUUCCGGCUCUGUCAACUCAAAAUCUUCACCUCAAUCGCUGGGGGCAUGCUCCAAAAACAUGCCAGUCAAGCCGAGUGAAGUUAAAGGAUGGACUUAUGUCACUCAUGUUCACCUCCAAAACAUGCCAGUCAAGACUUCACAUUUUUUAUUGUUUUAGUGAUUUCGAUGACAUCGAUAAUUAUUUAAUCUUGCGUUUGCUGCAUUAUUUAAACUUCUAUAUUCAUAUUCAUCUUUUAGGGUUCAUAUUAAUCUUGCGUACCUAGUAACAUGAGUCGUAUUAGCGCUAGAGUCAUAUACUACUUUUACAAAUUGAGGAUAGCCAUUCUCCACAUGAACUCCUACUCUCAAUCUUUAGCCGUUUAAUUGACGUAUGUUUCUCAUUGCAAGUUUUUCUUUCUUUUUUCUUCUUCUUUCCUUGUCAUUGGGAGAUGAUCAGUGGAAAAUGAGGAGAGACAUGGCCUGUAUUAAAGAAAUCCGAGACCAAUUUAGUUUUGAUUUAUUAAUUAACUUCUACACCUAGAUCAUUAACAGAGAUAGGGUCUUUAUUUAUUUUGUUCAAGACUAAGUCUAAAGACUUGUGAAAUAUAUAUAGAAGCAUUAUUUGUUAGCAGUAACGAGAGUGUCUUUUUUUUUUUUUUUUUUUUUUUUUUUUACUCGGAAAGACUUAGCACCACGGGUCAUUUUUUUAAGGCUUUUUAGAAGUUGAAUAAGAUGAUUUCAAACUAUACUAAGAUGAUUUCAAAUCAUCAUUUUGAAAUCAUUCGGCAACUACUAAACGUUCAGAUGAUUUGAAAUAUUUCGACAAAUUAAACGUUCAAAUGGUUAUAUUCAAUCCCUGAAAAUUAAAAAUGAGUGUUAUAAGAUUUGAGAAAUGGGGGGUGUAAAGAAAAUGUGGGGUGUAUGUACAAAAUAUAAGAUGUAUAUUGAGAAUGCAGGGUGUGGGGUAUUAUGGGAAAGUAUGUGGGGUGUAUGAAGAUAAUUUUUAAGUGGAAAAGCAAAUAUAGGGUGUAUUAAGUAUGUGAGGUUUAUUCAACAAUUUGUGGGAUGUUAAUAUAAUUAGCUAAACUGAAAACCAAAAAAAUAAAAACUCAAAAAAGUAGUUUUUAGUUUCAAAUUUUUGCAAACUUAAUAUUGAUAAUAGUUACCAAACAAAAUUUUAAUUUUUUAGAAGAAAAAAAAAACCUAAAAAUGCAAUGAUUAUCAAAAUGAGUUAGUUAAACCAAUGAGCGAUUGUGGACAAAAUUGGGCUGGACUGGAACUAGGCUUUACAUAUUUGAAAUAGGAGUGGACCCAAGACUUACAUAUUUUAAACAGAACCUAAUGGCCCGACCCAUUUAACUCUUAGGGCCAGAGGUAUAGGGCCAAGUACGACUUGGGCAGCUAUACCUUGGGCUCUUGUUGGCCUUCCCGAUCCAAUCUACAGGCCUACUAGAAACUACGGGUCCAACUCACUGUGGGUAUCAAAGUUGGUUGAAGGCCUUUUCAGUAUCUAACUUAUAGAUUAUUUUCUAGGGAGUUUUAACGAAAAGCCCACAGUAUUGUUUAUUUUAACGAAAAACCACAUUUUUAUACUAAAAAGUCAAACUUGAUACUAUUCACUUUACUCUUUAUUUUGUCCUUAUCAUUAAAACUCAAAAUUUUCAAACUUUUUUCAUUAGUUUUCCUUAUGUUCUAUUACAUUUUUUUACAAGGGAUAUUGAAGGACAUGAGCUGGCUUCAACUAUAAAUCCCUUCUUGUUACAAAGUUGAAUUCUUGACCAGUUAAAAGAAGGAAGAAAAGUAGAAGGAUUUUGUUCAUGCCACUUUACAGCAGUAGCGGAAAUCAUUAAAUCUUACGUUUCACGAGUUUAGUUUGAUCACACCAAUUUUUUAUUUUAAAAUUUAACAAUUUAAUUUACUGAACACUACAUUUAGUCAAAACCCAAAAGAAAAUUAUGAGAAUUUCAGGAUUUUAAUGUCGUAAGCAGUUACAUAAUCAGAUCCAAAUCGAACGAUCUCGAAUGUAUCCAAAAAAGAAGAAAAAUAGAAUAUCUCCAUUCCUGCAGUGUAGUUUUUCACUUCAACUUUUGUCUAUAAAUAGACACAACCCCCCACCACGACCUCCACCGCCAGUCCACGGCUUCAUAUCUAAGCUAACCUUCUGCGACCCUUUUGCAAACUUGUAUCAAACUGUUCAGAUUUCAACCUUCAAUGGCGGAUAAGGUGGUUUUGUUGGAUUUCUGGCCCAGCCUCUUUGGGAUGAGGCUGAGGAUCGCUCUGGCUGAGAAGGGCAUCGAGUAUGAGUACAAGGAAGAGGACUUGUCGAACAAGAGCCCACUGUUGCUGCAGAUGAACCCGGUUCACAAGAAGAUCCCGGUUCUUAUUCACAAUGGAAAACCGGUCUCUGAGUCCCUUAUUGCGCUUCAGUACAUUGAUGAGGUUUGGAAUGAUAAGGCUCCACUCUUGCCCUCUGACUCUUACCUCAGAGCCCAGGCCAGGUUCUGGGCUGACUUCGUCGACAAGAAGGUGAUUUUUACUCAUUAAUUUACUUAUUUGUAGGAUUAUUUUUGUUUUGAAUAUGUUUGGUUUGAAACAAUUGAACAAUGUUGUUUUAGAAUUUUAAGAUUAUAAGUGUUUAGGGUGUAUAAUUAUUUUACCACUUGGGAUUUGUAUUAGAAGGGAAAUUAAAUGGAACUGGAUCUCUGUUUCUGUUUUCGGGUUAAGAUUUCAUGUAAUGGUUCCGGUUUUAGGGUUUAGGGUUUAAGGUUUAAGGUUUGUGAUGUAUAUUUAGAAAGAUAAAAGCAGAAGAUCUGAACUUGCCCAAAACAAUGUAUAUUAAUUUCCCCGAAAUUUGGGAUGUGAAAUGCAGAUAUUCGAGAAUCGGAAGAAGUUGAGGACAACCAAAGGAGAAGAAUAUGAUGCAGCAAAAGAAGACUUUCUCGACUGCAUCGGCGUGUUAGAAGGAGAGCUCGGAGACAAGCCCUUCUUUGGCGGGGAGACCCUCGGAUUCGUGGACGUGGCGCUUGUUCCAUUGUAUAGCUGGUUUCUUGUGUAUGAAAAAGCUGGCAACUUCAGUGUUGAGGCAGAGCACCCAAAGUUUAUUGCCUGGGCUAAGAGGUGCAUGGAGAAGGAGAGCGUGUCCAAGUCGCUUCCCGAGCAGGAAAAGGUCUACGAUUUCUUCAUGCUUACAAGGAAAAAGCGUGGGAUUGAGUAGAUAUUGGUGGAAGCCUGGCAAGAAGCUAUUGAUGAUCGGUGUCAUUCCAACUUGUUAGGUCAUUUGGUUUUUCUGUCUUUCAAGAUUCAACUGUUUUCGGUUGUUGAAUUAGAAUAAAAGGGCACUUGACAGGGCUUGCACUGUAUGAGGCACUUUAUUGUGCCUCAGGUCAAUAUGUUUAUUUUGCUUCUGUAGUCAACCUAUCACACUGUUGUCAACUUGUUAUGUAAGGGAUCUAAAUCUACUUGAUCAAAUUUCUUAUUUUGUAACUACUUCAUAUCGAACAACGGAUUAUUGGCUUUCACCAGUUGCAUUUAAACGUGAGUCUCUUUCUAGCAGGAGACAAAGACUCAUGGUUGAAUGCAAUCGAUUAUACGAUGAAUUUUCUCCUUAUCCAACUUUGAGUUAACAUUUUUCAGUCGUAUGAGAUCAUGUGCGGUACACACAGCAAAGAUCUUACCUGAACAUGUCGACAGAAAAACAAACUGAAAAGAAUAUGAAGGCAUCCUAACAUUCAUCCAAGGAUUUUCUAACAUGGUGAUCAGUGUGAUAAUACACCAGUAGCUAGCCGCGGAGUCAUGUAGAAGGCUGGUCGGAACUCAGGCCGGCCUAAUUUUAUUUGUGAUAGUCCUCUCCACGCAAUGAUCUUUGGGCACUCUAUUUGCACAAAUUUCCACAGGUCUCAAAUACAUAAAACCUCGUCCGACUCCGCCAUUGUUGACUUGAUGCACAAACUUCUUGUAGAUCAAUUUGCUUCUCGCCAAUAUCUGACACCUGCGUUUCAGUCUCACUUAUAUUGCCCAAUUCUUGUUUUAUUCAUGUAAUUGGAUUCAUAUUUCAUUUUUGUCGAUAAAGUGCACACAUGGUCAACAAGUGAUUUGUUCAAACCUAUAUGAACCUACUUCAUGGGAUCCCGUGCACUUAACCAACUUUGCCUGUUGAAAAUUCAUAGUGCUCUUCAUUAAUCAGAAGGGAGGCAAAAAUACAGCGAUGCUCUAAUGAAACCCCCUUCUGCUGUUGAACCAUCACUCCGACUAGAACACCACAAUGACGCCACAAUUACACUUCAAUGAUUUUAAAAACAACCAAAACCUCAUUUUCAAAGACCCACAUUUAACAACAAGGGACUUACAUUUCAAUUUGAUUUAAACCAAAAUUCUUAGGAUUUUGAACCAACGGUGCAACAAUAACAAUUUGAGGACCCCACAACGACACUCCAAUGAUACUCCCCAUAUUAUGAUUUGAACUAGCACAACCAUAACAACAAUCUGAUGACGCCACAAUGACACUCCAACGAUAUAUACUUCCCUUUUUAUGAUUUUGAACUAACAGAGUCACAACAACAAUUUGAUGAUGCCACAACUACACACCCCCAUUUUUUGAUUUCGAACCACCUCAGCCACAACACUCAUUCAAGGAACCCUCUCCUUCUUCAUUGCCUAACCACCACAACCAAAUUUCAAAUACAAAAAAAAUCAAAUAAUUGAGCUAGAGCAAGAUGAAACAGAGAGGGGAAGAAGAAGAAUGGAUAUGGGAGGUGGAGCAAUAAGAAGCUUACCUCCCUUCAUGGUAUUCCAAAUGUUAUUUACCACUCCAAAUGUGAUUAGUCAAGACGGCGCAAUCGAAAAAUGAAUUUGAGAGUGUUGUUGGGUGUUGGUGGUUUUUCUAUGGGUAAAUUACAUUUUAUCUCCUCAAGUUUGAGGUUGAUUGUAACCUUAUAACAUCUUUAAAACAUUUUAAUUCAUACAUUUACUUAUCAUUUUAUUUCAAUUUCAUAAAUCCGUUAGAAAAUUCGUUAAAUAAACCGUUAAGUGAUGACAUGGAAAAUAUUAGAUCCAUAUUUGUGCUGAUGUGGUUACUAAAUUUGUGUCACGUAGUAAAAAAUAAUAAUUUUUCUACGCGUUUCAAAAUAAUAAUUUAAUCAGAAUAUUAAAUACUAAAAUAAUUAAUUAAAGAAAAGUUUGAAAAAAAACAAAAGAAACCUAAAACCCAUAUCGUCCCCUUCCCCAUCCGCAGCCUCAUUCCCCACCGAUUCUCCCACCACCACCCACUUGCCCACCCGAGCCACCCCUUCUCCCGUCACCAACCCCGUCCCCCAUCACUUCCGCACGAAGCUUCUCCCUCCAGCACCACCAUCAUCCCCCAUCACCCAUCACCACCCCCUUCCCCAUCACUUCCGCAACACGCUUUUCCCUCCAGCACCACCACCAUCCCCCAUCACUCAUCACCACCCCCUUCCCCAUCACUUCCACACCACGCUUUUCCCUCCAGCAGCACCACCACCAUCCCACAUCACCACCCCCUUCCCCAUCACUUCCGCACCAAGCUUCUCCCUACAGCACCACCACCAUCAAUUUCCUCAUCCCAAAGCCCCGAGCAACCCAGAGACCCCUAAUUUUUCCCCCACCUUCAUCACCACCUCAAACCCUUGCCUUGAUUUCUUCUUCCAAGUGGUGCUCUUCAUCCCCUUCUCAUGGAAGGAAGAUCCAAAUCUGCUGGGAAAACCUGUUUUUCGAAUUCGAACCCCGAGAUUUGUUGCACAAGGACAAGAAAUCGUCUUCGGUGUGGAAUCUCCGCCUAUGACUCCGACGUCGAUUGGUGGCUCCUCGGAAUCUCCAAAUUCGCAAACCUUGCCGCCUCGGCUGGGCUCAGCAAACUUCCCCCCGAAUUCUCCAGCGGGCUGUCGAAAUUAAACUUCGCGGCGACUGCGACAAGGCCAAAACUGCGAAAACGAAUCCCAGCGAAUGCUCUGCACGCAAUCUUCUGGCGGUUUUAGCGACUCCACCUCCGUCGCGAAAGCUCUGCACGCCAAACUCGCCAGUUCAACCCGAGACCGGGCAAUCUGCACAGGAUUUUUGGGUAAAUGUUUUAACGGCACAUUUAUUUUAUUAUUAUUAUUUUUUGUUUGGGUUUCCAGAUGCCCACCCUCGACGGCGGCCAAGAAAUUGUGGAGGGAGUGGUAUCCGGCUGCUCGGCUUGUUUUAAGAUUUGCUGGAGAAGAGGAGUGGGCCCCUUUGUAUUUUGUUUUAAUUUAUUUUUGUACUUAUUUUUUAUUUUAUUUUCCACGUUAUCACUUAACAAAUUUUUUAACUGAUGUAUUAUAUUGAAAUAAAAAUGAUAAGUAAAUGUAUAAAAUUGAAAUGUUUUAAUGAUGUUAUAUGAUGUUGUAAUCAACCUAAACCUAAGAGGAUAAAAUAUAAUUUACCUUUUUUUUAUCAAUGACCAAUAAAAAGAUAAAUGAAGGGCAGUGUGGACAUUUCACAUCAAAAGUUGAUCAAAAGAACAAUUUUUAAUAAGUGUGAUAAAAAAAUACAACCAAAUGUCAAAACAUGUCUAUUUUGGCUAAUAACCCUAUAAUCUUCUAAGGUCAUAAUUGGAUCUAGCUUCCAACAAAACCACUAAACUAAAAGCUAGUGACAGUAACUCAUAAGUAAAUAUUAUUAUAAAAGCGACCAAGAGUGAUAAUAAAACUUGUCAAAAUAAAUUUAUAUUGAUAGUUGAGGUCAAAUUUGCUCCAUAUCGAAGGUCCUUAUCGAACUUGGCUUUCUCAUGCUAUUAAUUGUAGACACUUUCAAUAUUACUGUGGUGUGAUUGUUGUCACUGGCCUAUGAUGAGUCGGAGACUUAUGAGUUGAUUGGUGAAUAAGAUCUAAAAUAUGUUUUCACUAAUAUAAUAUAAAUAGGUGGUUAUUCUAGCAUUACUCUUUAUAUACAAUUGGAUGAUUCAAAUCUUUUUUGUAACCUUCUUCAUGGCCUGGAAUUAUACAACUGUUUUUUUCCCUAAUAGUUCUUAUUACACCUUUACUUGAUUUGCAUCACUUCCUUUAUGUUAAUAAAAUUAGACGAUUGCACAUGCUUCCUUACGGACACCAAAGACAACAUUUUUUUUUUAAAAACUAUUGUAGUUCCGUGUGGUUGAAUGGAUUACAGGCUUUAGGGUUUCAGGGAUGUAGCACACCCCAACUUCAUGGCACAAUCGACGUAAAAAUAUUCUGAAAAUUGCAUAUAACACAUCCACGCCAAAACAAACCUGGGGCAUUAUGUACUGAUUCCAACUUCCGAUCGUAUUUUUCGUCUCCAUCCUCCUGCAAAAAGUGAAAUCUCGUUGUAAAAAUUAAUGUAAUUAUAGUAAUCUACAUAAAACUAAGAACUAAAUAAGAUAUUAAGGUCUCGUUUAUGUACUAAUUAUUUCAAUCGAAUAAGAUAAUCUGUCAUCGAACUGUACUAACUAAAUUAGUCGAACGUUUGGUGCAUUAUCGUAGUAAUGACCGUAUUAUUUAUAAUGUGUUUGGUACCGUACUGGAUGAGAGAUCGGAUUAUAUUAUUUUUACUAAAAAAAUUUGAUGACUAAUGAAAAAAAAAUUCACAACCAAAUGCAUCAAAUUUAAAAACAAAAUAAAAAUAAUUUUGCUUGUCACUUCGAUAUUGCAUUUUCUAUUUGUCCUUUAUUUAGAGCAAGUCCACCCCUAAAGACUUUGCGUCAGCACUCAGCGCAUUUAUCCACUCAAGUGAGAUUCCAGGGAACAGUAAUAGGCCAAAGUAUCUCCACGCCUAAAAAAAUAGCCUAGUCAAUUUAUUAAAAUAUUAUUAUUUUUAUUAUAAAAUAAUAAAAACUAAUAAUUUUAUUUUUAAUUUUUUGACUUUAUAAAAAAAUAAAUAUUAUUAUUAUUAUUAAAAUACUUUUAUUUUCUCAUCUUCCACACUUCCCUUCCCUUCCAUUCCUGCACGCCAUCCACCUUAACAUAGAUAAUCCAUUCCCACCGCCGCCUCCAAACCUCCUCCUCUCAUCCUCCAACACCGUUGCCCUCCUGUCUUUCAAGUCCCAAGCCGACCUCAACAACAAGCUCCUCUACCUCUCCUGCAUCUCCACACCUCUUGUCCUUCAACACCGUCGCUUCAUCCGCCUGCAUCUCCACACCUCCGAUGUCGUCGCUUUGUCCUCUCGUCCUUUUCCCUCCAUGGCUCCUUCCGUCCCGACACCCUCUCUCGCCUCGACCAGCUCCGCUCCUCAGCCUCCACAACAACUCCCUCUUUGGCGCAAAAAAAAAAAAAAAAAAAAAACUGACGUCAUAUGCCCUCCGACGCCACGCUGACGUCAGAUGGACCUGUCCCAAUGUCUGUCAAUUUUGGGCUGGCAUGGAGACUAGCUUGGGCUGGGUGCCAGUCAAUGGAAUGGAUUGGCUAAGUGUUAGCCUUGUUUUUUGGCUGAGUGCCGACCUAACCACCUCCCGGUGGAACUGCUCUUAGGAGGCAGAUUCUCUGACCUCCCACUUUCCUUGUCCUUCGUGCCCUUCUGUUUUGUGUGGUCACGGUUAAAUCACAUUAACAUUUUAUAUUAUUUUUUUAUAGAGAUAAUAAGACAAAAAAGAAUAGUAAUAUAAAAUAUUGACGUGACUUAACCAUGACCACACAAAUAGAAGGGCACGAGUCCCUUUAUUUAAACCAAAUUAUAAAAAAUAAAAAAUCUUCCCCAUAUCUUCUCCAUCGCACCGCCCCCAGACACCCUUAGUACCUUCUCCUUACCAGUUCAAGCAAAUCUUCCCCCUCAAUACAUCUGAAACAAAUCCCAAAUUACCCAGAAAUAAGGAAACUUAAUUACUAUUAAAAAAACAAAAAAGGGGGAAAUGGGUUGUAAAAUUCGUACAGGGCUCUGCUGAAACCAUUUGCUUCGUGGUUGACAAAGAUGAACCGUCCAUAUACUGGGUUUCUGUCAAAUCGAAAAUCCCUAUCAAGAACUGUUGCUCGAACUUAGGGUCUAAUGCGUUAAAACUAUUUGUAGGACAGAGAACUUCAUGGAUGCUGCAAAUCGAAGAAAGCUCUGAAGUGAACCGAGAGAAACCAACGUCAACCUACCACCAUCAGAUUGGGCCAGUUAACUGCCGAGGUCCAUGACCGUGACCCGGAGGGUUUGGCUCAGGCACCUUCGAGUAUUCGACAUAACCGAAGAGGAAGAGGGUGCGGGUAAAGAACGGAGGGAGUCGGACUAAUAAUACGUUCCUUUUGGGGUGUAUAAUUAAGGGGGCGUAAAGUGUAAUAAAUUGGAGGAGCCGGAUAAUUAGGGAUGGCAAUGCUUAUGGCGGGCGGGUAAUCGCGGUUAUUUACCCAUAACUGUUUAUAUUCAUACCUGUAUAACUGUUUAUCCGUUAAGUAAUUGCAUUAAUGGUUAUACCCAUAUCCAUAACCAUUUAUAAAUGGUUAACUACAUCCAUAAUCGUGUAUCUAUUUAACCAUAACCAUUUACCCGUUUAUCCGUUUUUGAACCUAUUUAUCAUUUUUUUUACCCAUUUAUCUUCUUUUUUUCACCCGCUACAUGUUUUAACGAUAAAGCCAAUCUUGUGUGUAUGAUAUAGGUCAUGUGGUGAUUGACCUCAAGGCUAUAAUGGCUAUCCCCAAGGUUUAACGAUAAAAUUCUUUGGCCAAAGCCCUCCAUUCAUCAUGGACGUGUGAGACUCUUGGCCUUGAUCUUAGGUAUUGAUUGUUUUGCAGGUGCAUUUUCAUCCAAAAAACAAAAAACAAAACAAAACAAAAAUUUGCAUCUAGAGUGAGUAAAAGUGGAAAUUGAUGGAUGUUGGUGGGAAGGUUACAAAGAAAAGAAGCAUGGGGUGGUGGGCAGGUUGGGAUUUGGGUGUUAAUUGGUGGAAGUAGAUUUUUGGAGGUGGUUUUGGGAGAGAGAUUGAGGUUUAGAGAUUGUGGGGUGGAAGGAGUUGGAAAUGAGAUUUAAUUGUCGAAUUCGGUGGGGAAUUUUGCAGGAGUGGCAUUUCUUAUUGCUCUAUGUAAUCUGUUGUGAGCUUUGGAGAGAGAAGCAUAGAAAAUGAAAGGGUCUCGUAAGGUAUGAGGAGGAGGUUGUGGUGAGUUGAGUUGAGUUGAGUUGAGCGAGUCAGUUUACCUGUAAAAAGAUGUUUUUUGUUCAGAAUGAACGGAAUAUCAGAUAAAAAAUUUGUUUGUAUCAUACUUAGGGCCUUCGUAUUUAGACCUCAUAUAAAUACUCGGGAGACUUAAGUGUAAUUAUGUAAUAAAUGAAGGGGCAAAUAUGUAAUAAGUGAUGAGCCCUUAGUCUAUAAAAGGGACUCCUCACCCUCACAAUCCUCAGGCCUCACAUCCCCUAAACAGAGGCUCUCUCAAACUCUCUUUCUCUGGGGGACUCCCCUUCACCCUUGUAAUCCAUACAUACAGUUAGAAAGAAAUACAAUCAACAUCAGUGUGGACGUAGCCCAAACAUUGGGGUGAACCACGAUACAUCUUGUGUUCUUUACUUUCUUGCAGAUUCACAGUCGAAUUUACAUUGUUCCAAGACAUCUGGUUUUGUGCAUCAACAUUUGGCGCCGUCUGUGGGAAACGGUACGAAAAGUUAUGUUGGUUCUCUUUCAUUUUUUCACCUCCACCAUGAAUCUGCAAAAACCCAAGAACCCUAAGUUUUCCCAGAAAAACCUAAGAAACCAAACCCUCUCUCUCUCUCCCUCUUUCGGCUCUUGCUGUUGAUAACAAAAAGGAUGAUAAAAAAACUCUUUUGCUCUUUUCGGCCUGAUGAGCAGAACGGCGCCCUUGGCCGUUUUACACCUUGCCUCCGCCCAAGACGUGGCGGGACUGGUGUAGGUAGCCUACUCUUCGCCGCACGGGUUCACGGUCUCGGCUAGAUGCCACAGGCACUCCAUCAACGGGCAGGCGCAGACCAACAACGGUGUCGUGAUUCAGAUGAGCGGGGGAUCGUUGAUCGGUGAGGCGGAAGCUCACCUGCUCAUUUUACAAAGCUCACCUGCUCCAAUAUAUGUUAGCCAUAUAUUGCCCGUCUCAAUAACCACACUGAAAUCAAACAGCAAGUGACCCGUUACAUUAAUUAGGUUGGAGUGUUUGAAAUUUAGAAGGAAACAACCGAGAACAUUCCUCGUCCACUUCCAAAUUGCAGUUGAAAAUUCAACGUUCUAUUUGUAUUUGUACUUGUACAACAUCUUCACUGUCGUUGUUUUAUUUGGGUUCCGCGAGAAACACGACAGACAACAUGAAUGGACUUCGGAGCAGCCAUUGCCAACGAUGUCUGCAACUACAAAUCCCAAUUCUCCUCCUCUUGUCCAUUAGCCUCCUAUUCAAUUUAGGUUCGGCAGACGAGCCCUCAACUCCCAAGAACGGAGACAAAGCUUCAAGUGGGUCGGUAGCGCUCAAGGCAGUGAUUGUGCUGCUGGGGGUGGCGGCUAUCAUCGGCUUCUGUGUCUUCUUGUUCAAGAUAUGGCAGAAGAAGAAGAGAGAAGAGCAACGCGCCCGUCUUCUUAAGCUCUUUGAAGACGACGAUGAACUCGAGGUUGAGCUUGGCAUUAAGGAUUGAUGAUUGAUCCCAAUGAACACAAUCCACCCUCCAGAAAGAAAAGCAAAAGAUAUCUUGCAAAGCAACAUGGGUGGGCAGAAUGAGCGGGGAGAUCAAGAAAAGCAGAAAGCAAAAGAAAAUAAAAAAAAGCAGACAUAAUUGCGGUGGUGAUGGCAUGCAAAAAAAGGAAUUAUGGGCGUGACCCAUUGAGCAGAGGGUCAGAUUUAUUUUUGAAUGAUGUGAUCUAUUUAUCUUUCGGAGACAUCUGUAUAACCCCAUCAGAGAGUAAUAAAAAAAAAAAAACAAGCCUAAAAUAAUGGGUUGGAAUGUUAUGUGGAGGCUGAAGGCCCAUAUGCCCAAAAGAGCCAGACCCUUUAUUAUCACAAACUAGGUGAUCAAAAGUAAGUCCAGUACUCUAAAAUUAUUCGGCAGCCUACUGCUAUUAUCACCAACCAGGUGAUCAAAAGUACGUCCAGUACUCCAAAAUUAUUCGGCAGCCUGUCGUUAUUAUCACUAACUAGGUGAUCAAAAGUACGUCUAGUACUCCAAAAUUAUACAUGAGCAUCACUCAUGUCAAUCAUACAUAAACAUUCAUGAGCAUCACUCAUGUCAAUCAUACAUAAACAUUCAGGACCAUUAUUCAUGUCAACAUUCAUGAGCAUCACUCAUGUCAACAUCCAUGAGCAUCACUUAUGUCAAUCAAUGUAAACAUUCAUGAGCAUCACUCAUGUCAAUCAGCUUCGAAAGCUUCAUUUACAGAGCUCCAGCUUCAGCUUCAGCUUUCAGAGCUUCAUCAAGCUUCAAAAGCUUCAUUUUCAAAAGCUCUCAAAGCUUCACUUGCAAAGCUUCACCUACAAAGCUUCAGUCAUGCAGGGUAUAUAAAAUACCGCAUCUGAACAAUCGCCCAACUUCGGCACUAUACUUUCAUAGAAGACUUGGGGGACUACACUAUGUACUUGGGGGACUUAGCCCAUUAUUUAUGUAUUGAAGAGCGAACCCUUAUUUUAUAAAAGGGACUCCUUCACUUUCAUUAGAGAGCACCCAUUAUUUAUGUAUUGAAGAGCGAGCCCUUAUUCUAUAAAAUGGACUCCCUCACCAUCAUUAGAUAGCAUCGUUGCCAGCUAAGCAACCUCCUCGCCGCGAACAUCAACUCUAGCCCAUCACUUAUGUAUUGAGAAGCGAGCCCUUAUUUUAUAAAAGGGACUCCCUCACCAUCAUUAGAGGCAUUGCCGCCUACUGAGCAACCACCUCGCCACGAGCAUCAACUCUAGCCUAUCACUUAUGUAUUGAGGAGCGAGCCCUUAUUUUAUAAAAGGGACUCCCUCACCAUUAUUAGAGAGCAUCGCCGCCUAUUGAGCAACCGCAUCGCCGCUAGCAUCACUUAUAGCCCAUCAUUUAUGUAUUGAGGAGCGAACCCUUAUUCUAUAAAAGGCACUCCUUCACCUUCAACGCCACAAGCCGAGCCAACCAAGGCAACAUAAGCCACAAGCCAAGCAACAUCGCAACAUGUGCUACUUCUAGUUGAGCAUCAUUUCACAUUGAGCACCGCCUCAUAUCGAGUAUCAGUUCUAGACGACAUCUAGUUACUUCGGCCCACACAUGGACUAAAUUUCAAGUCUCCAGCCAAAAGACUCUCUUGACGGAAGACUUGGGGUACUACUGUUUGUAUCAUACUUAGAGCCUUCGUAUUUAUACCUCGUAUAAAUACUCGGAGGACUCAAGUGUAAUUAUGUAAUCAAUGAAGGGGCAAAUAUGUAAUAAGUAAUGAGUACUUAGUCUAUAAAAGGGACUCCUCACAUUCACAAUCCUCGGGCCUCGCAUCCCCUAAAUAGAGGCUCUCUCAAACUCUUUUUCUCUGGGGGACUCCCCCUCACCCUUGUAAUCCAUACAUACAAUUAGAGAGAAAUACAAUCAACAUCAGUGUGGACGUAGCCCAAACAUUGAGAUGAACUACGAUACAACUUGUGUUCUUUACUUUCUUGCAAAUUCACGGUCGGAUUUACGUUGUUCCAAGACCUCCGAUUUUGUGCAUCAACAAAAUUAAAAAAAUCUAAUGGCAUAAAGAAAUUUGGCUAAUUAUAAAAUUUCGAAGAUAAUCAAAUAAGAUAAAAAUUUAUAAGAGAAAUUAACGUCUUACAAAAAAAUCGACAAAUAAGUCAUAUUAAAACAACUCUCAAGGUUCUGCCGUCUCAGUUCUUGUGCUCUUCCGUGCCCUCCUGUUUUAUGUGGUUACAGUUAAGCCACAUCAUUUUUUUAUAUUAUAUUUUUUAUAAAGAUAAUAAGAUAAAAAAUAAUAGUAAUAUAAAAUAUUAACAUUACUUAACCGUGAUCAUACAAAAUAAGAAAGUACGAUAGGGCACAAAAAGUGGGAGGGCAGGAAAUCUGCCUCCCUCUCCACCCAUGCUAUCUAAUUUCACACGUUUCAACAUGCAGAAGCUACUAAAUCUGCCUCCCUCUCCACCCAUGCUAUCUAAUUUCACACGUUUCAACAUGCAGAAUCUACUUGCAAUAUCACUCCCUUGUCAUUAUCACAUCACAUCACUUUUUGUUACUUGUCAUGACCCCAUGCAUGACUAUGCAUCCUGACAAUUCUGAUCAACCCCAUGCCGUUUCCUUUCUUAUUUUUUUUCUUUUUAUUUAAACAGUCAUAACAAAAUCACGUUAAGAUUUUAUAUUAAUUUUUUUUUUAUAAAAAAACAAAGUAAAGUAGGAAAUUUUAACAAAAAACUCAUGGUACUGUUCACUUUAACGAAAAACCAUAUUUUUACACUAAAAAGUUAAUCCUGGUACUAUUUACUUUACCUUUUAUUUUGUCCUUAUUAUUAAAACUCAAAGUUUUCAAAUCAUUUUCAUUAGUUUUAUUAAUACAGUACGUAAGAAGAGGAGAGAAAAGAGAAUAAAAAGAGAAAGAGAAAGAGGAAAAUUCUAAUCCCACUGCUCCAAUCCAAUCCGAUGACAAGAAUCCCAAUCCCAUGUAAACUGCACUGCUUGCUUGGAGAUAUAAUUAGAUUUGGAUUGUCUGCUCUCCUCAUCUCAUAUUCUUCGCAUGCCUCCUAUUAUGUGGUCACAGUUAAGUCACAUCAAUAUUUUAUAUUAAUUUUUUUAUAGAAAUAAUAAGACAAAAGGUAAUAGAAAUAUAAAAUGUUAACGUAACUGAACUGUGACCAUAAAAAUAGGAGGGUAUGAGAUGGAGAGAGUAGGCAAUCCAAGUCCGAUAUAAUUUGCAUCUUAUUAUUCCGUAAAAGAAAAGACUAAGAUAAUUCAUAUUAAAAGAUAAUUAUUAUAUGAUUAAAAAUCAUAAUAUUAUUCUUUAACAAUAAUAAAAUUCUCAUCACUUUUUCAUUUGAUUGUUUAGAACCAUGCUCAAUCAAUGGUUUCGAUUGCACGGAUCGAUAGUGUAAUUUUGAGUCCAAAUAGAAACACAUAAAAAGAUUGAAAAUGCAUUUUUAUACUCUAGGGAGAAGCGGAGCUAGUAAUUUACAACAAUGGGAUCAAAAAUAACUUUAAAAAAUCGAUCACACUUUCAUUUAAAAAUAGCUUCCAAAUUGAAAACACAUCACCCAUCUCACUCAAAUGAAAGAACAAAUAGAGAUUAAAAAAAUACAUAACAAAUUUCUCUCUAAAAAAUUAGCACCAAUAUGAGUAAUUGCUAGGGCACCCUGCGGAGAGCACUAAAGCAGCAACUGCUGCCUUUUAAAUGAUGCCCCAUGUUUUUCACACUCUCUCUGUCUGGUUCUCUCUUUCAAAAUGGUAGACCCGACUGCUCUCUUAUUAAAAUGAGAGAGCUGAAUCCUCUCCGAUCAAAGGGUAUGGCAAACAGGUGAUAUAUGUAUUACAACAAAUCAACAUAAAUUAAUAGAGAAAUAUAAAGGAAAUGCAGAGUCUUUGAGGACUGAUUCUCUGGAUUUUAUGUCUUUCCUUUCAACUUUUGUCUAUAAAUAAACACACACACAAACACCCCAACUACUACCUCCACUACCACCCCACAGCUUUAUCUAAGCUGACCUCGUGCAACCCUUUUGCAAUUUUGUAUCAAACAGUUCAGAUUUCAACCUUCAAUGGCGGAUGAGGUGGUUUUGUUGGAUUCCUGGCAAAGCCCAUUUGGGAUGAGGCUAAGGAUUGCUCUGGCUGAGAAGGGCAUCGAGUAUGAGUACAAAGAUGAGGACUUGUGGAACAAGAGCCCACUGUUGCUGCAGAUGAACCCGGUUCACAAGAAGAUCCCGGUUCUCAUUCACAAU
This 23755-nucleotide long non-coding RNA is filed under the name Malus domestica (apple). Its description in RNAcentral is "long non-coding RNA (MDOM_LNC005169)". Lineage: Eukaryota; Viridiplantae; Streptophyta; Magnoliopsida; Rosales; Rosaceae. The record is from RNAcentral.